CCGCCCCGCACGGCCCUGCCUGCUCGAUCCCAUCUCCACCUCCAUCCCGCCGCCACCUCCUGCCCCCACACCUCCCGCCCCACACCGCCUCGACCGGGACCGCGUCCCUCCCCAAACGACAGCUCCUGGCCGUCGGAUUUGCUGGCUCCCCGCUCCUCGGGGCCAGCCCCUCCCCGGUGCCGGGUCGAGCAUCGGCUUGGAGGCCCUUGGGGCUGCCGCCGGUGUGGGAGUCCCGCAACGGCCGUGCGGGCUGCGGACCGAGCGGCGGGCCAGCCACCUGUGCCCCGUCCGCCCUGCUGCUGAGCCAUCCUUGUACCGUUGCACACAUCUUCGCACCACCGGCCAGCCUCUGGUGCACACCUCUUCUUUUACUAGCCACGAACCACGAGCAUCACCUGUUUGGUGUUGUGCCUACGAGCGUGUUGGAGAAAUCUGUGUCUAGAGGGUGGUGAAGAUUGAUGCGGAGAGGAAGUCGAUGGCGACAGAGAGCGUGUGUACUCCAGCCUGUUGGAUCUAUCACAGAUGCCUUUGCUUGAUGUACAAUGUCAAAUUCAAGAAGAAAAAAGUGUUUUCUAUUUUCUACUAUAGAUCUGCGUUGUAUGGAGCGGAACAUAACCAACUGGUCUGCAUCUCCUUCAAUGGCACCCUGCAUCUCUAUCAAUAGCACCCUGCAACAAGCUUGCUUUCUCUACAUCUACCAUCAACUACCAUGCAACAAGUUCAGUUUGAUGUUAAGAGGAGGCGUUACAGAAGGGAGAGAUCGAUGAUUUUGGAAUAUAAAGCUUCAUAUGAUUUUUUCCUCCAAGGGCACGCAUCAAAUGUUUGCUGAAUUGCUUGAAGAAAAUGCAUCGGGUCCUUUCUUGCGUCCUUCAAGUCUUCAACCAGAUAGAACAAAGGCCACAAGAGCUGAUUUUGUGCACCUUGCUGCAUGGGCACCCACUUGAUUAAGAUAUUCGAAGUAUUGUCUUUGAGAAUAAUUUGAUGAACCACCAUGUCGCCCUUCAAUCUGGUUCCAUGGGAAAGUAAAUUACAUCGUAUGAGCGAGUCAACAUAGCCUACAUGUUAAGUGGAUGCUAUCACUUUAUCACAACUUUUAUUUAUUACCAUUCAUUCUACCAUUGCUCAACUUUGUUUCAUAAACUGUUCUUGCUAUGUAUGCAGGAUACAUUUCUAGAGCUGAAAUUUCAGGGCAUCAAGAAGUAAUUAACUAUGCUUCAAUUAUUGAGCUGCAGAUAUGGCAUGUGCGUACACGAAGACCUGAUGCAUCAAAGCUCGGUGUGGACACACCUCUUCUUACAGGACAGAUGUUGAUUUAUCAUUUCCUUCGAGCGCCAUUAAAUCCCAGUCUUAUCUAAUUUGAAAUGGCUCUAGCGUGUGUGAUGUAUCGCUCCCCUCAGUUUUUGGAGGAACAUGGUGCUAUUUGGUGCUUUUGGUUGUGGAAAAAAUGUCAUUAGUCAGGCACUUUCUUGUCAUGGAUGUGGGAAAACCUUUGUCUAUAGUAUUUUCUUGGUACCAUCUCUAUACCGUCUAUUCAGUUUGAAAAUAUAUGUGGUACUCCAGUUCUGAAGCUCUGCUUUAUGUGGGAUGUGGGGAAAGAGGAAAUGAGAUGUCUGAUGUUCUCAUA
Long non-coding RNA from Triticum aestivum (bread wheat), 1624 nucleotides. RefSeq lists it as uncharacterized. The transcript is spliced from 7 exons. Lineage: Eukaryota; Viridiplantae; Streptophyta; Magnoliopsida; Poales; Poaceae. The record is from RefSeq and is a predicted model, not a curated record.